CCAAUAGCGUAUAUUAAAGUUGUUGCAGUUAAAAAGCUCGUAGUUGAAUUUCGGGAUCAAUAUGUCGGUCGUGCCUUCGGUACGUACUGGUAUCAUUGGUCUCUCCUUUCUGACGAACCAUGAUGUCAUUAAUUUGGUGUUAUGGGGAGUUAGGACUGUUACUUUGAAAAAAUUAGAGUGUUUAAAGCAGGCUUUAGCUUGAAUACAUUAGCAUGGAAUAAUGAAAUAGGACGAUCGAACCUAUUUUGUUGGUUUCUAGGAUCAACGUAAUGAUUAAUAGGGAAUAGUUGGGGGCAUUAGUAUUCAAUUGUCAGAGGUGAAAUUCUUGGAUUUAUUGAAGACUAACUACUGCGAAAGCAUUUGCCAAGGAUGUUUUCAUUAAUCAAGAACGAAAGUUAGGGGAUCGAAGACGAUCAGAUACCGUCGUAGUCUUAACCAUAAACUAUGCCGACUAGGGAUCGGAUGAUGUUAAUUUUUUAAUGACUCAUUCGGCGCCUUACG
This 501-nucleotide ribosomal RNA is filed under the name uncultured Glomeromycotina. RNAcentral's name for it is "partial small subunit ribosomal RNA". It matches the Rfam family "Eukaryotic small subunit ribosomal RNA", at positions 591 to 1092 of the family's 1831-position model. Lineage: Eukaryota; Fungi; Glomeromycota. The record is from RNAcentral.